This 73-nucleotide transfer RNA is filed under the name Polyangiaceae bacterium. RNAcentral describes it as "tRNA-Thr". It matches the Rfam family "tRNA". Rfam says of the family: Transfer RNA (tRNA) molecules are approximately 80 nucleotides in length. Their secondary structure includes four short double-helical elements and three loops (D, anti-codon, and T loops). The record is from RNAcentral. RNAcentral also lists the same sequence under 1 other name. Lineage: Bacteria; Pseudomonadati; Myxococcota; Polyangiales; Polyangiaceae.
GCUGGCGUAGCUCAACUGGUAGAGCACCUGCCUUGUAAGCAGGGGGUUAGGGGUUCAAGUCCCCUCGUCAGCU